UACAGAGGUCCCAAGCGUUGUCCGGAAUUAUUGGGCGUAAAGAGCUCGUAGGCGGUUUGUCGCGUCUGCUGUGAAAACUCGGGGCUUAACUCCGGGCCUGCAGUGGGUACGGGCAGACUAGAGUGCGGUAGGGGAGACUGGAAUUCCUGGUGUAGCGGUGAAAUGCGCAGAUAUCAGGAGGAACACCGGUGGCGAAGGCGGGUCUCUGGGCCGUAACUGACGCUGAGGAGCGAAAGCGUGGGGAGCGAACAGG
RNAcentral lists this ribosomal RNA (253 nucleotides) under uncultured bacterium. Its description in RNAcentral is "partial 16S ribosomal RNA". It matches the Rfam family "Bacterial small subunit ribosomal RNA", at positions 524 to 776 of the family's 1533-position model. The record is from RNAcentral.